UGUGAAGAAUUGGGGUGCCAUUGUGCUGAGAUUAAACCCACUGAACCUGAUACGGUUAACACCGGCGAAGGGAUUUCUUUCACCAGAUAG
This 90-nucleotide non-coding RNA is filed under the name Paucilactobacillus suebicus. Its description in RNAcentral is "Lactobacillus suebicus TPP sequence". It matches the Rfam family "TPP riboswitch aptamer (THI element)". Rfam says of the family: Vitamin B(1) in its active form thiamin pyrophosphate (TPP) is an essential coenzyme that is synthesised by coupling of pyrimidine and thiazole moieties in bacteria. The record is from RNAcentral. Lineage: Bacteria; Bacillati; Bacillota; Bacilli; Lactobacillales; Lactobacillaceae.